GCCAAGUGAUAGCUCAGUCAGUAGGGCAUGAGACUCUUAAGCUCAGAGUUGUGGGUUCAAGCCCCAUGUUGGGCA
Non-coding RNA from Podarcis lilfordi (Lilford's wall lizard), 75 nucleotides. Lineage: Eukaryota; Metazoa; Chordata; Lepidosauria; Squamata; Lacertidae. The record is from the annotation of a GenBank genome assembly.